ACCCAGGCUGGAGUGCAGUGGCGCAAUCUUAGUUCACUGCAACCUCCACCUCCCGGGUUCAAGCGAUUCUCCUGCCUCCACCUCCCGAGUAGCUGGGACUACAGGCGUGUGCCACCACGCCUGGCUAAUUUUUUCUAUUUUUAGUAGAGAUGCGGUUUCACUGUGUUAGCCAGUAUGGUCUCGAUCUCCUGACCUCGUGAUCUGCCUGCCUUGGCCUCCCAAAGUACUGGGAUUAAAAGAAAUUGUUUUUAAUUCGCUGAGGGUGGUGUUGCACGCCUGUAGUCCCAGAUACUCAAAAGGCUGAGGUGGGAGGAUCACUUGAACCCAGAAGGUCAAGGCUAUAGUGAGCCAUGAUCAUACUACUGCACUUCAGCAUGGGCGACAGUGCGAGACCCUGUCACGAAAAAAAAAAAAGUUCCUUUUUCUUUAAAAUUAAUAGACUAUUCUUAGAGCAGUUUUAGGUUUACAGAAAAACUGAGCACAAAGCACAGAGUUCCCGUAUACUCCCUGUCUCCACACCCAGAAUGUCCCUUAUUAUAAACGUCUUGUAUAUGGUGUGGUCCUCUUUAGUCUCUCUUCAUCUGUAGCAGUGCCCAUGGUUUUUUUUUUUUUUUUUUUUUUUUUUUAAACGUCAUUUAUUUGUUGAAGAAACUGGGUCAUUUGUUGUAUAGAAUGUUCCACAUUCUGGAUUUGUCCUUGUGCUAGUGUUUAAUACACCCCUCCAUCUCCUAUAUUUCUUGUGUAUUGGUGGUUAGAUUUAGAAACCUGAUGAGAUUCAUGUCCCACAUUUUUGGCAAGAAAAAUUCCCAGGCGGCUCUUUGAAUUUCUUCUUGCGUCACAUCAGGCACCUGGUGCCUGGUGCCCCAGUUUUAGUGAUGCGAAGAUUGAUUAGCGGUCUGCAGCACUCCUAACAACCUUUCUUGACCGCAUCCUGGGAUCACUGCCCUGGAAACAUCCUCUCCCUUUUCUUAGCCCCUGCUUUCUUCCCUAGCCUGCCUGGCUUCUACGCUCCCAAGCCCAUCUUCUAGGCACCCAGAUUGAGGCUCCAUGGCAAGCAGCAGGGACAGGGGCAGCAGAUAGCCUGAACCCAGGAAAGAGAUGUGUGUGACCCUUGCAUGUCUCCAGGUUACAUCCACUACCAGCCUGCCCAGGACCGGCUGCAACCCCACCUCCUGGAGAUGCUGAUUCAGCUGCCGGCCAACUCAGUCACCAAGGUUUCCAUCCAGUUUGAGCGGGCGCUGCUGAAGUGGACCGAGUACACGCCAGAUCCUAACCAUGGCUUCUAUGUCAGCCCAUCUGUCCUCAGCGCCCUUGUGCCCAGCAUGGUAGCAGCCAAGCCAGUGGACUGGGAAGAGAGUCCCCUCUUCAACAGCCUGUUCCCAGUCUCUGAUGGCUCUAACUACUUCGUGCGGCUCUACACAGAGCCGCUGCUGGUGAACCUGCCGACACCGGACUUCAGCAUGCCCUACAACGUGAUCUGCCUCACGUGCACGGUGGUGGCCGUGUGCUACGGCUCCUUCUACAAUCUCCUCACCCGAACCUUCCACAUCGAGGAGCCCCGCACAGGUGGCCUGGCCAAGCGGCUGGCCAACCUUAUCCGGCGCGCCCGAGGUGUCCCCCUACUCUGAUUAUUGCCCUUUCCAGCAGCUGUAGCUGCUGUUCUCUCUGGGGAGGAGAGCACAAGGGCUCUUUCUGCCACUUGCUCUCCUCAGAAUUGGCUUUUGGAACCAAAGUGCCCUGGACCAGGUCAGGGCCUACAGCUGUGCAUCCAGUACAGGAGCCAUGAGCCAAAUAUGGCAUUUGAAUUUGAAUUAACUUAAAAAUUCAUUUCCUCACCUGUAGUGGCCACCUCUAUAUUGAGGUGCUCAAUAAGCAAAAGUGGUCAGUGGCUGCUGUAUUGGAAAGAACAGAAAAAGACUUCCAUCACUGCAGAAAGGUCGGUUGGCAGCACCGGCCAAGGUGAUGGGGUGUGCUGCAGAGUGUGUGUCACCGUGUGGUGGAUGGAGUUUACUGUUUGU
Molecule: small RNA, 2018 nt
Filed under: Pongo abelii (Sumatran orangutan)
Lineage: Eukaryota; Metazoa; Chordata; Mammalia; Primates; Hominidae
Description: retained intron
Source: RNAcentral